RNAcentral lists this long non-coding RNA (698 nucleotides) under Musa acuminata (dwarf banana). RNAcentral's name for it is "long non-coding RNA (MACU_LNC006475)". The record is from RNAcentral. Lineage: Eukaryota; Viridiplantae; Streptophyta; Magnoliopsida; Zingiberales; Musaceae.
GGGGCGAAUCCGUAGCGGCAGCAUCAAUGGAUUGCGAGCCGGAGGAGCUCCAGUUCCUGGGCGUCGUCGGCAUCUACCGGGAGGCGGCCAAGAUCCUGGCGAGGUGGCGCCGCCUCUUCGUCAAGAUCGCCGGCGCCCUCGUCCUCCCUCUUUCCAUCCUCUUCUUCGUCCACAUCGCUAUUUCCCACCGCCUCUUCUCCACCAUCGACUCCGACGAGUCCGCCCUCGAUGACGCCCCCCCGGGAUCCACCUCCGAGUCCUCCGCCCUCCAGCGGCUCGUCUCCGACUGGUCCGCCUUCCUCCUUUUUAAGGGUUUCUACCUCGUCGCCCUCCUCGUCCUCGCCCUCCUCUCCACCGCCGCUGUCGUCUACUCCGUCGCCUCCAUCUACACCGCCCGGGGCGAUCUCGCCUUCCGCAAGGUGCUCACCGUCGUCCCCCGCGUCUGGCGCCGCCUGAUGGUCACCUUCCUCUGGGCCUUCCUCGUCCUCCUCGCCCUCAACUCCGCCACCAUCGCGCUCCUCGUCUUCAUCCUCCUCAUGGGUGGCAACUCCUCCACGGGCCCCGUCCUCACCAUCUUAGUCGUCAUCCCGCUCUACCUAGUUGCCCUCGUCUACGUCAGCGUCGUCUGGCACCUGGCCAGCGUGGUCUCCGUGCUGGAAGACGCCCGCGGGCUGGAGGCGAUGCGGCGGAGUCGACGG